Molecule: ribosomal RNA, 381 nt
Filed under: Ototyphlonemertes lactea
Lineage: Eukaryota; Metazoa; Nemertea; Enopla; Monostilifera; Ototyphlonemertidae
Description: partial 16S ribosomal RNA
Rfam family: Bacterial large subunit ribosomal RNA
Source: RNAcentral
GCUUUUUGAUUGUUAAAAGUCUCUUCUGCUCGGUGAUUUUUAACAGCCGCGGUACUUUGACCGUGCAAAGGUAGCAUAAUCAUUUGCCUCGUAAUUGGGGGCUGGAAUGAAAGAAUAAACGAAGGUUUUUCUUUAUUAGAAAAAAGUGAAGAAUUUUCUUUUUUAGUGAAGAAGCUAAGAUUUGAAAGGGGACAAGAAGACCCUUUUGAGCUUUACUUUUCGUCUUUAUAUGACUGAUAAGUUUGGUUGGGGCGACCAAGGAAGAUCUUCCUUUAUUAUUUUGAUCCGCUUGUAGCGAUUAAAAGAACAAGUUACCAAAGGGAUAACAGCGUAAUCUUCUCUGAGAGUUCUUAUUAAAUAGAAGGAUUGCGACCUCGAUGU